RNAcentral lists this long non-coding RNA (561 nucleotides) under Naja naja (Indian cobra). RNAcentral's name for it is "lncRNA (ENSNNAG00000002401.1)". Lineage: Eukaryota; Metazoa; Chordata; Lepidosauria; Squamata; Elapidae. The record is from RNAcentral.
AUUCUGUACUCUCUUUGGGACUAACUUUGAUUGCUCUUUAUUUUUCUGCAGGAUGAAUAUAGUUGUCGUUAUCAAGCUGAGAAUUCUAUCACGAAGUGUUCCACAACGGGGGUCAUCCUGGCAGGAGAUGAAAAAGCCCUCCUGGAGGCGGUGGCCACGGUUGGCCCAAUUGCUGUCGGAGUGGAUGCUCGGAGCUCCAACUUUCGGUUUUAUAAGUCAGGUGUCUUUAAAAAUCCCUGGCAGGGAGAUCCGUACUUGGUUCAUGCCAUGCUGGUGGUUGGCUACAACAGCACCAAGCAUUGGAUUGUGAAGAACAGUUGGUCUCGUUUUUGGGGAGACGAUGGAUACAUGCUCUUGGAGCUAGGAUCGAAUCAAUUGGGCAUCGCCAAUGAUGCUAGCUACCCCAUUCCCUAACCAGCCAAGUGGACCGUUUGAGAAGCGGGACGAAAAAAAUCCCCCAGGAAUAAUCUGCAGUUUCUGAAGCUUCUGGAGAACCAGCAAACAUAUAUAUAUAUAUACAAGCUAUAAUCAAUAAAUGCUUUGACGCAAUGCUUCCUAUGA